RNAcentral lists this transfer RNA (65 nucleotides) under Terrapotamon thungwa. Its description in RNAcentral is "tRNA-Trp". Lineage: Eukaryota; Metazoa; Arthropoda; Malacostraca; Decapoda; Potamidae. The record is from RNAcentral.
AAGAUUUUAAGUUAAAUAAACUAGAAGCCUUCAAAGCUUAAAAUAAAUUAUAUUUUUAAAUCUUA